Molecule: ribosomal RNA, 253 nt
Filed under: uncultured bacterium
Lineage: Bacteria
Description: partial 16S ribosomal RNA
Rfam family: Bacterial small subunit ribosomal RNA
Source: RNAcentral
UACAGAGGGGGCAAGCGUUAUUCGGAAUUAUUGGGCGUAAAGGGCGCGUAGGCGGCCAUUCAAGUGACGGGUGAAAGCCCUCGGCUUAACCGAGGAACUGCCUGUCAGACUGGAUGGCUUGAGACCGGGAGAGGUGAGUGGAAUUCCCAGUGUAGCGGUGAAAUGCGUAGAUAUUGGGAGGAACACCGGUGGCGAAGGCGGCAUCCUGGACCAAUAUUGACGCUGAGGAGCGAAAGCCAGGGGAGCAAACGGG